CCCCUCCUUUGUGUAUCUUCAACUCAUAGCGUAGAUGCGGUGGGUCUGGGGGUUCCUGUUCACCCGGCUCACGGCACCGAGUGGUCGAACCAGCACUGAGGAGGGGUCCCCGAAGGCAAGGCAAUCCAGUGGGUAGAAGCUGUCGUCGUCAGCGAUGCGGACCUGCCUGACUCCUCAGGGAGGCAGUGCGGAGUGCGUGAUGAGGGAGGCUGGGUGUUAACGUGGUGGUUGGAGUCGGUCGGUCGAGGAUGGAUGAGAUCUGUGGGAGCCAAGAACCCUUAGGAAGAGGGAAAGAGUACUCUGCGUGGAUCCGAGCUGCGGUCUGAGCGUUGAGACUGGUAAACUCCGGCCUUCUCAAGCAUCUUACAGGGACUCUUUGGGUCGCCUUCCCAUUGAAAUCCCAAGUCCGGACGGUCUUGAUGGAAAUCUGGGGCAAAGAACUGGGAGCCUCUAGCCCCCUCCGCACCGCCGCGGAGUCGGAACCCGAAGCGCUUCUGCGUAACGUCAGCGCGCCGGUGUCCUGGGAAAGGAGCAAAGUGUACAGCCCACUCUGAGAUGUGUAAUUGGGUGUAGGUGGAAGAAAGGAAGCCAUUUCUAGAUAGGCUUCCCACGGAGACUCCAACUGUCUGGAAACUAAAACCCAAGACCACCAAGAGGGAGACUUAAAGGAGAGCAAGAAACCACGGAGAAAGGAACGGCCACAGGAAAGAAAAGAAUUGCCCACCACUUUUGAAGGACGUGCGGAUUUUUUUUUUCCCAAAGCACGUUCUGACUUUUCUCAACACACUUCCUAGAACCCAUUUUCCUUGUUCUUAUUCUGAAGGUUUUGUUUUGUUUUUGUUUGCAUAUUCCUGCAAGACCUUCGGAUUGGCAGUGGAAGGGGAAAUCAGCAGCCGGGCACGAGACUGGGGUGGGAAAAUAAAGCCCUGGCGGCUCCCGCCCUGGGUCCAAUCUAAGGCACUCCCCUCCUGGCUACCUCAGGAGCUGGCUGAGCCUCCGCCCGCCUAAGGCUGAGCCCCUGGGCUGCUGGCCACGGGGUGAUCCGGGCCAGAGUGAUCGUGCUGCAUUUAUUAACGACUAGACAGAUUACUUAAGCCAAGUCCCCAAAGAAAGGGAUCCAAAUGAGUAAAACAGUUGCAGCUCCGGCUCUAGCCAAGGCUGCGAGUCGGGAGAAUCCCGCCUGUUGACAGAGUCGCAGCUUCUUAGGCUUCUCCCGGUUUUAGGACGAGGUGAUGCCCCUUGAUGGGCUCAGCGCUCUGGGGCUUGCAGUUGUGCGAGGCUGAAAGGUAAUUAUUGGAGCUAUUAGACGAUGCUACACCUGGCUGUUGAAAUUUGAAGUCAUGUCUGGUGUACUUCAGAAAACAUUGCGGGCUUUUUUUUUUUCCUCAACAAAUUUAGUGUCUAUCUUUUACUAAUAAUAACACAGUCUCGCAACGGCGAACGGAUGGAUGCAGUCAGGGGUUGCACACUUUGGUUUCUGGGCUGACUUGUGGCCCUCCUUAUCUUCGUGUUUACAAAACCAGAAUAUUAAAGUGCGGCCUCUAGACUAUCCUCACCACUGUGCGGUUCCUUCAAGUCUUCAAGGAAAAUCUCUCUUCUCCUGUUAGGGUGUGGCCUGCCAGACCGGCAGUUCCCCCUUGCCUUCCCCGCUCCUGCCUGCGACCCCUUGACUAUGAAUUCCCGUCCUUUUCUGGGCUCUCACUGGCGUGUUCUUCAACAUGCCUUCACAAACAUUUUCUCAACCUUGUUGGGCAAGGUUUGAUCUACUAAGGAGUCCACAUUUUGCUCCUCCCACCCCAGGCUGGUCCCUGGAAGUCAGGAGCACAGAGUUCUCUUCCCUGCUUGUUUUCCAGGCCAGUCGCAAAUGCAUGACUAAGGAAUCUGAGAUUGAGAGAGGUCUGGAGUUGAGCUGGCCACAGGAAUCAAGCGGUGAGGACAGGACACCCGUGGUGUUGGCCCCUAGGGAGCCCAGGGCUGCACCCAGAAAUGCAGGCCCAGAGGCAACACCUAGAUCAGAGUUCAGCCUCCCCUCCUCCAGCCCUCACAGGCUUGGGGGAAGAGUUUAAAGCCACAGUGGUCAGGCCCCAAUUAUGCGUGAUUCCAGCCACAUGACUGCUGCAGCCGGAAGGCGCCAUCCUCAGAAGAAGCCUGGAAUUUCACAUCGAUUUUUUUUUUUUUUUAAGUUUAGACCGUUUGCGGAGGGUCAAGAACUGACAGGCUGAGGGUUGGAAAGUGGAUAGCCAGGAUUCCCCAUUUCGGGGAGGAAAAAAAAAGGCCUUGGUGAUACUUGCAGGGAGGCCCGAGAAGGCGACCCAUCAGCGAGCUUGCCCCUGCCUCUGCCUGCCUCUGCCAUGAAGGUGGUCUGGGCAUCAAGGACGGCUCCCCUAGGUCCACAUCUGCUCAGCACCGCUCUUCAGCCAGGACCCAGUAAAAUCUCCUGAACAUGUAAGACACGAAGAGAGGGAAGGAAGGAAGCAUGCAAUGAGGGAAUAUCAGAAACAUCUUUCUGGUCAUGUGAACUUUAUUGCAGAUCAGAAAGUUAUCCGAAGGCUGCCUCAAACUUCGGACUCCAUUGCUCCAAAUGCUGACUGUUCCUCGCACCUCACCACCGGCUGCAGCCUGCUGACUAGGGGCUUUUUCAGAUUUCCUCUUCUCUCUCCAGCUUCUACCCCCACCUGGCUGGUGGCAUUUGGAGAUGAUUUUCCUUUUCUCAAUUCACCAGACCAUGUGGCUCCCGUGCUCACCUGGGCUGGUGCUUUCCCCAACCUUUCUUCCUGAUGGGAAUUCCAAAUCUCCUCCUGCAGAAGGAAAGCCAGGUUGAGGAAAGGUCAGAGAAAGGAAGUCAAGCUGGAGGUCCAGGCAUAUAGUAUUGUAUUCUCUGGGUGCCUUUGAUUCAUUCCAGAGAAAUAAAAAGUAUCUGAGGAAAAAAAAUUAUUUGAAUGGGUGACCAUCUGCGUUCCCCUAACUCACUAAUUCCCAGGCUUGAGCCCAGUUCAUGCACUGGGAGCGUGACCUUGUUUCCCUAAAAGGCCCCUCAAAGAUCUGAGUACACAGUAGGCUACAGCAGAAGUUCUGAGGGAGAAGGAACAGUUAUUGUUAUUGUUAUUAAGCAAAGCCCCCCCCCAAGUGCCCAUCAGUUUCUGUGCAGUUCAUUUCAUGGUCAGAAAGAAGACUGAGAUUAUCUCCGGAGGACCCGCUUCCACCUUCCACUUGAUGCCUCCCCAAACAUCUCAACAACCUGUUCCCCCUGAGUAACCCACAUAGAGAUUUGGAGGUACUCCACUCUGACGGGCUGGUUUAACUGGCAAGACAUUACUGUGACCCCUGUGCGUGUUUCCUGACCCCUAGAGGUCAGAGUGAGCAGAGCCCGCGGGGGGGGGGGGCAGGAGGGGGGGCAAUCUAACCGGAAUCCAAAUGUCUAAGAAUGGGGACUUCUCCAAGAUCUGUUUAUAGAAAGACCAUUCAUCUUGGGCCCAGUGAAUUUAACUCUGUAUUAAGACAGUCCAAGAUACGCCCCAGUGAGGAAGGAGCAGUUUCAGGAAGGCUGAGGCCCAGUCCUGGCUGUGCAGCUCCUGCAAUGUAUGACCUAGAGCAAGAAGUGCUUGAGCCCAGGAGUACCUUCUGGAUUAAAAGGAUGCUCGCUCUGGCGUUGCCCACCGGGACAGUAUUGGAACACAAUGGUUACCAACCCCUCUGAUUGCAAAAUUUUUCACUAAGUGAGAUAAUCCAACCACAGCUCUGUGACUAAGCAGGGUGGCGCACACAGCCCGGAAGUGCUUGCUUAGACCCGGAAGCACCUGGAGCUCGCUGCCCUCUUUUCUAGAAGACCUGGGUGGGCUGCCUUCGUGUGUAAAGCCGAGUUUGUGACCCCCAUGCUGCGCCUGUCCCAUCCACUUCUGGAAUCUACACUGACUGAUUGAGGGAAGGGAAACGGCAACCACGAAUGGAGUUAGUCUUUGGUUUUAGUUAAGCUGCCGGUCUACCCUACAGUGGGCUAGAAGAAUGCAUGCGAAUGGAAAAAAUUUAUAAUGGGAGCCCGAUGACUAAAAAGCCUCACCAUACAUUAUAGAGUGGAUGUACUAGAGAUUUUCGGGAGGGAUUCA
Long non-coding RNA from Alexandromys fortis (reed vole), 4103 nucleotides. RefSeq lists it as uncharacterized. Lineage: Eukaryota; Metazoa; Chordata; Mammalia; Rodentia; Cricetidae. The transcript is spliced from 6 exons. The record is from RefSeq and is a predicted model, not a curated record.